Molecule: long non-coding RNA, 1806 nt
Organism: Cyanistes caeruleus (blue tit)
Lineage: Eukaryota; Metazoa; Chordata; Aves; Passeriformes; Paridae
Source: Ensembl
CAGAGCUCCCUGCAUCGGCGGCCUACGGCCCGCUUUAUCCGCUCUUCUCUCCAUGGCCGGUUUCCACAUCUCUGCCGCUGACAUGUUUUGAUUCCCAGCAGCUUUUGUCGCCUUCAGCUGGCAUCGGGAGCGGGACACGGGGGGAGUCACCAAAGACUAAAACUUGAUUGGGGUGGAAAGUCUGUCAGGUUUAACCCCCAAACCGGAGCUGGGGCCGUGGGAGAGAGAAGCCCACGGAGAUUCUCAGGCAGCUCCGCCAUUCCAUACCCACGAGGUUUGUACCACGGGAGAGCAGCGAGCACCGGGGGUGAGAGGGGAAGGGAGCUGGAGGCAACUGGGAGCGCAGGUGAUAAAGGAGAGUGUGGGCAGACAUGGAAAGACAGGACAGGCAGCCGGCGUGCGACAUAAACUGGGGACACCUAGUACUGGAGUAUUUUUCUAAGCUGCAUUUUUUUAGACAUUUCCUCCAAUGUAGGGAGAAAAAUGAAAAGAAAUGCUCUCUCUGCAAGGAAAGGAGGCACCUCUCAGUGCAGCCCUACUAAGAUAAGCGUGACAGGGCCGUGUGUGCUUCUACCCCACGGCUGAGCACUUCCUCAAGGCAGAAAGAGCUGCUCCUGUCACCGGGGAGGGGACCAAGCCUGGCAGGAGCAGGGGAUGCCUCAAUACAGCCCCGACCGGCUAAUGGAAUGAGUCAUCGACAGAGUGGAUUAUUUAAAGCACCGUGAGCUGGGCAUAUCAAAGCUGCUGACACGAGUUGGAAGUGAUAGCGCUGCCCAUCGCUGCUGUUUUGGGGGAAAAAGCUGGAUUCCUGACCCCGUCCCCUUGGCCAGCCCCCGCCAAGGGCAGCAUUGCCGGGCUGGCCGUGAGCCCGGCCGGCUGUGCGGGGAUGUGCGGGGCCUUUCCCCGCCUUUCCAUCGCUGCCCUCCUGCCCUCGGCCGUCUGCACCGGCCGCCGGGGCGGCAGCUUAGUGCCGGAUUAGAGUUUCCAUUUAGAUCAGGUAAUUUAAGGGGGAGGGGGGAAAUUAUUAAAAAAAAAAAAAAAAAAAAAAAAUCAAAGCUAAUGCGACAUUGUCACACAUUGACUGCUAAGCACUCCCUAUCCACCUACUUACCCAGGGCUUGUGGAUUUGUCAUGUCAUAUUCUAUGACAGUCAGAUAAUAAUAUCUCACCCUGGAUAAGAUGCAUGGAUUUUAAAAAUGUCAGUCAACAUGACUGAUUUUUUUAUUUAGCAUUUCAAAAUCCCCUUAUUUUCACCUGCCUUGGGAAAAAAAAAUAUAUCUGGGCUGCGUGUCCCUCUUUAUAUGCCAUAUCUCUGUGAGAUGAAUAUGUUGGCUUAUUGGACAGUAAAAGGCCAGUCUCUAGGUGACAAUUGGGCUGCCAUUAUUCAGCAUUUUAUUCAUGCAUAUUUAGAGGAUGGUAAUGAGGAUUUUUGCAUUGUUGCAUGAAAAUGGUCAAUUCCCAGCAGUUUUGAUGGAAAGGAAGUGAAACAUAUGAGAUAGCUAUGUGUCCAGUCACAGCUGGGAUUUCAAAUGAUUUUCCUUCCCUUAGCCAUGCACUUUGCCUCUCAGACAGGACUAGCUCUGGUGUGGGCUCCUCUCCUCUCAUUCCCAUCUGACCAGGUUUUUACACACUACUUCUGCAGUUAUUAUCUGUUACUAAACAACAACACACAUUUGCUCUUUCUUGUGCUGCUGGUACUUUGUGUCUCCCUCCUUAAAUGUUUGCAUUUCUUUUUUAAAAAAAUAUUUAAAAUAUAUUUUUAAUAUGAUUGAAUAGUGCCAGGAAAUUAAUGCUUGUAAACCUGCC